RNAcentral lists this long non-coding RNA (221 nucleotides) under Capsicum annuum. Its description in RNAcentral is "long non-coding RNA (CANN_LNC014052)". The record is from RNAcentral. Lineage: Eukaryota; Viridiplantae; Streptophyta; Magnoliopsida; Solanales; Solanaceae.
ACACAUGUUAACCCUAUUUAAAAAAAACAACUUGUAUCUAGAGCACUCUCUAAACCAAUGAAUAAUGUCACCACAACCAUGGCAAUAUCUUAGAAUAAUUCAAUGUACUACCCCUACUGAUCCAAAAUAGUUGUGAUGGCCUAAAGAUCUAUGUCGAAUACUCUACAAGGUUUGAUGAGAAAUUUGUCUGUCGUGACCAUCACAACUACUCUAAGAUCCAC